GUUGGUUGUGCUGUGAAGAAGUCAGUGCUACAAGGAGAUGCCCAUGAGAAAUCACCAAGAAAUGGGCAGGUUUUUAUUAAUGACUUCAGGUUUGCCUCUCAUUCCUGUCCUCACAAGCCAUGCCUCAAGCAGUAUCAAUGCCAUCUGGGACACCUGCUCACAUCCAUGCUUGCUUCAAGGCCUUCCAGUGAGCCCCUGAGCUGGACCAACCUCAUCUGGACUGGUCUGUUCAUCCUGGUUGAAGAAACCUGGCAAGGAUAUCACUUUACUUCUUCAGCCUGUGUGUAGGAGCCUGCAGCUGAGCGCACUGGAUGUGGACAAGCACAGCAUCCCUGUGGCUCCCCGUCUUUUUGAGGAGAGGAAUGCUGGUACAGUCAAUACCACUCAUCAUCCUUCUCAAGCCCUGAGAAAGAGGAAUG
Long non-coding RNA from Zonotrichia leucophrys gambelii, 419 nucleotides. RefSeq lists it as uncharacterized. The record is from RefSeq and is a predicted model, not a curated record. The transcript is spliced from 4 exons. NCBI's taxonomy places the organism in Eukaryota, Metazoa, Chordata, Aves, Passeriformes, Passerellidae.